Molecule: ribosomal RNA, 253 nt
Filed under: uncultured bacterium
Lineage: Bacteria
Description: partial 16S ribosomal RNA
Rfam family: Bacterial small subunit ribosomal RNA
Source: RNAcentral
UACAGAGGAUGCAAGCGUUAUCCGGAAUGACUGGGCGUAAAGCGCAUGUAGGUGGUUUACUAAGUUUGAUGUGAAAGCCCUGGGCUUAACCUGGGAAUGGCGUUGAAAACGAGUGGACUUGAGUCUGGCAGAGGGCAGUGGAAUUUCCGGUGUAGCGGUGAAAUGCGUAGAGAUCGGGAGGAAGGCCGGUGGCGAAGGCGGCGCUCUGGAACGUUUCUGACACUGAGGCUCGAAAGCGUGGGGAGCAAACAGG